Molecule: ribosomal RNA, 397 nt
Filed under: Salmonella enterica
Lineage: Bacteria; Pseudomonadati; Pseudomonadota; Gammaproteobacteria; Enterobacterales; Enterobacteriaceae
Also listed under: 1 other name
Description: partial 23S ribosomal RNA
Rfam family: Bacterial large subunit ribosomal RNA
Source: RNAcentral
UAGCGCCUCGUGAAUUCAUCUCCGGGGGUAGAGCACUGUUUCGGCUAGGGGGCCAUCCCGGCUUACCAACCCGAUGCAAACUGCGAAUACCGGAGAAUGUUAUCACGGGAGACACACGGCGGGUGCUAACGUCCGUCGUGAAGAGGGAAACAACCCAGACCGCCAGCUAAGGUCCCAAAGUCAUGGUUAAGUGGGAAACGAUGUGGGAAGGCCCAGACAGCCAGGAUGUUGGCUUAGAAGCAGCCAUCAUUUAAAGAAAGCGUAAUAGCUCACUGGUCGAGUCGGCCUGCGCGGAAGAUGUAACGGGGCUAAACCAUGCACCGAAGCUGCGGCAGCGACACUGUGUGUUGUUGGGUAGGGGAGCGUUCUGUAAGCCUGUGAAGGUGUGUCGUGAGGC